This 248-nucleotide unclassified non-coding RNA is filed under the name uncultured Chaetomium. RNAcentral describes it as "sequence contains ITS2". The stretch from base 1 to 52 matches the Rfam family "5.8S ribosomal RNA", at positions 103 to 154 of the family's 154-position model. Lineage: Eukaryota; Fungi; Ascomycota; Sordariomycetes; Sordariales; Chaetomiaceae. The record is from RNAcentral.
AACGCACAUUGCGCCCGCCAGUAUUCUGGCGGGCAUGCCUGUUCGAGCGUCAUUUCAACCAUCAAGCCCCCGGGCUUGUGUUGGGGACCUGCGGCUGCCGCAGGCCCUGAAAAGCAGUGGCGGGCUCGCUGUCACACCGAGCGUAGUAGCAUACAUCUCGCUCCGGUCGUGCUGCGGGUUCCGGCCGUUAAACCACCUUUUAACCCAAGGUUGACCUCGGAUCAGGUAGGAAGACCCGCUGAACUUAA